UACGUAGGGUGCAAGCGUUGUCCAGAAUUAUUGGGCGUAAAGGGCUCGUAGGCGGUCCAUCGCGUCGGGAGUGAAAAGCUGGGGCUCAACCCCAGUCCUGCUUCCGAUACGGGUGGACUAGAGGUAGGCAGGGGAGAACGGAAUUCCUGGUGUAGCGGUGAAAUGCGCAGAUAUCAGGAGGAACACCAAUGGCGAAAGCAGCUUUCUGGGACGGUACUGACGCUGAGACGCGAAAGCGUGGGGAGCGAACAGG
RNAcentral lists this ribosomal RNA (253 nucleotides) under uncultured bacterium. Its description in RNAcentral is "partial 16S ribosomal RNA". It matches the Rfam family "Bacterial small subunit ribosomal RNA", at positions 524 to 776 of the family's 1533-position model. The record is from RNAcentral.